UGGUUCUAGCAUNGAUGAAGAACGUAGCGAAAUGCGAUAAGUAAUGUGAAUUGCAGAAUUUUGUGAAUCAUCGAAUUUUUGAACGCACAUUGCACCUUUUGGUAUUCCGAAAGGUAUGCCUAUUCGAGCGUCAUUUUACCUAUCAAACUUUUAGUUUGGUUUUGGGUUAAAUCUGUCAAGAUUGACUUGAAAGGAAAUUGGUUCUUCAGUACAAUGAUCUGUACAAGAAAAACUAUUAACCACAAAUUUUUUAUGGUUGACCUCGAAUUAGGUAGGAUUACCCGCUGA
RNAcentral lists this unclassified non-coding RNA (288 nucleotides) under uncultured fungus. RNAcentral's name for it is "partial contains 5.8S ribosomal RNA and internal transcribed spacer 2". The stretch from base 1 to 133 matches the Rfam family "5.8S ribosomal RNA", at positions 22 to 154 of the family's 154-position model. Lineage: Eukaryota; Fungi. The record is from RNAcentral.